RNAcentral lists this ribosomal RNA (475 nucleotides) under uncultured organism. Its description in RNAcentral is "partial 16S ribosomal RNA". It matches the Rfam family "Bacterial small subunit ribosomal RNA", at positions 333 to 799 of the family's 1533-position model. The record is from RNAcentral.
ACACUCCUACGGGAGGCAGCAGUGGGGAAUUUUGGACAAUGGGCGAAAGCCUGAUCCAGCAAUGCCGCGUGAGUGAAGAAGGCCUUCGGGUUGUAAAGCUCUUUUGUCAGGGAAGAAACGGUGAAAGCUAAUAUCUUUUGCUAAUGACGGUACCUGAAGAAUAAGCACCGGCUAACUACGUGCCAGCAGCCGCGGUAAUACGUAGGGUGCAAGCGUUAGUCGGAAUUACUGGGCGUAAAGCGUGCGCAGGCGGUUUUGUAAGUCUGAUGUGAAAUCCCCGGGCUCAACCUGGGAAUUGCAUUGGAGACUGCAAGGCUAGAAUCUGGCAGAGGGGGGUAGAAUUCCACGUGUAGCAGUGAAAUGCGUAGAUAUGUGGAGGAACACCGAUGGCGAAGGCAGCCCCCUGGGUCAAGAUUGACGCUCAUGCACGAAAGCGUGGGGAGCAAACAGGAUUAGAUACCCCGGUAGUCCCAUG